Molecule: RNA transcript, 1334 nt
Organism: Morus notabilis
Lineage: Eukaryota; Viridiplantae; Streptophyta; Magnoliopsida; Rosales; Moraceae
Gene name: probable NAD(P)H dehydrogenase (quinone) FQR1-like 2
Exons: 3
Source: RefSeq, a predicted model, not a curated record
UGGAGCUUAUAAAAGUUUCCGCUUCCGAUAUAGUGAAUUUACAAAACUGAAAUUCAAAAAUUAAAAAAAAGGCGAAAAACUCGUACUGUAAAUUCGAUUUUUUAUUUUUCAUUUUUUUUUCGUUUGCGUAAUUGUGAUUAUUAUUUUUUUUGAUGGGGAAAGGCGGUGGUUGCGUUCCAAGCAAGAAGAAGGUUCCCUCCGGCGGGGCCGAGGAUUCCCGGCGCGGCGGAGCCGCCGGGAACGCGCCGAUUCCUGCCGACGACAGGCCGAACGACGCCUUGUCGAGAGAUUCCGCGGCGGCGGAGGAGAAUUCCCACCCAAUCGCGAAGCUGAAGGUGUUCAUCGUGUUCUACUCGAUGUACGGACACGUCGAAGGGUUGGCGAGGCGGAUGAAGAAGGGCGUGGACGCGGUGGACGGCGUCGAGGCGGUCUUGUUUAGGGUUCCGGAGACGUUGCCGACGGAGGCGUUGGAGCAGAUGAAGGCGCCGCCGAAGGACCCCGAGAUUCCGGAGAUUUCGGCGGCAGAGCUGGCGGCGGCCGACGGCGUCUUGUUUGGGUUUCCGACGAGGUACGGGGCCAUGGCGGCGCAGAUGAAGGCGUUUUUUGAUUCGACGGGGCAGCUGUGGAAGGAGCAGAAGCUCGCCGGGAAACCGGCUGGGUUCUUCGUCAGUACUGGCACGCAAGGUGGCGGCCAAGAAACCACUGCUUGGACCGCUAUUACCCAGCUAGCACACCAUGGAAUGCUUUUCGUUCCCAUCGGAUACACUUUCGGAGCUGGUAUGUUCAAGAUGGACUCCAUAAGAGGGGGCUCUCCAUAUGGUGCAGGUGUGUUUGCUGGUGAUGGCACUAGGGAACCCACUGAAACCGAGUUGGCUCUUGCAGAGCAUCAGGGCAAGUACAUGGCUGCAGUAGUCAAGAAGCUUGCCUUUGCCUGACAAUUUGCUCCUGAUUCGGAACUCACUUACAUUUGCUCACCAUCAUCGCUUCUGUUCGAUUUUUUCCCGUGAUUGUCGUUGGCAUUGUCCUAUUACAGUCUGGCAAGAAAGAUGCCACUACUCUAAUGGCAGUGUGAAGACUGUGUUUAAUGGUCAUUAACUAACAAUCUAGACAAGCCUUGUCGUCUUUAAGGAGAAAACAUCGUGGGCCCAUGUCGAAUUUAGUCAAAUUGGUGGUGUCUUCCUCAUCAACAAUAUAUUAAAAAAAAAUACCAGAUAUUUCUUCGUAAUCUUAGGCCCCUGGGAUGUCCAUAUGAUGGGGUCAGGCAAAUUAUCAAAUAGUUUUUUUGUUUUUUUUUUAGGGAAAAUUAUCAAAUAGUUAACUGUGUUCAUGAUACA